RNAcentral lists this ribosomal RNA (424 nucleotides) under uncultured bacterium. RNAcentral describes it as "partial 16S ribosomal RNA". It matches the Rfam family "Bacterial small subunit ribosomal RNA", at positions 360 to 776 of the family's 1533-position model. The record is from RNAcentral.
AAUCUUCGGCAAUGGACGGAAGUCUGACCGAGCAAUGCCGCGUGAGUGAAGAAGGUCUUCGGAUUGUAAAACUCUGUAAUUAGGGAAGAAAGAGCUAUGGAGGGAAUGCCAUAGAAGUGACGGUACCUAAUGAGAAAGCCACGGCUAACUACGUGCCAGCAGCCGCGGUAAUACGUAGGUGGCGAGCGUUGUCCGGAAUUAUUGGGCGUAAAGCGUGCGUAGGCGGUCUAUUAAGUCUGAUUUGAAAGCCCGUGGCUUAACCAUGGAGAGUGAUUGGAAACUGAUAGACUUGAGUACAGGAGAGGAAGGUGGAAUUCCACGUGUAGCGGUGAAAUGCGUAGAUAUGUGGAGGAACACCAGUGGCGAAGGCGGCCUUCUGGCCUGAGUCUGACGCUGAUGCACGAAAGCGUGGGUAGCAAACAGG